This 495-nucleotide ribosomal RNA is filed under the name uncultured bacterium. RNAcentral describes it as "partial 16S ribosomal RNA". It matches the Rfam family "Bacterial small subunit ribosomal RNA", at positions 28 to 506 of the family's 1533-position model. The record is from RNAcentral.
GAUGAACGCUGGCGGCGUGCCUAAUACAUGCAAGUCGAGCGAACAGAUGAGGAGCUUGCUCCUCUGACGUUAGCGGCGGACGGGUGAGUAACACGUGGAUAACCUACCUAUAAGACUGGGAUAACUUCGGGAAACCGGAGCUAAUACCGGAUAAUAUAUUGAACCGCAUGGUUCAAUAGUGAAAGACGGUUUUGCUGUCACUUAUAGAUGGAUCCGCGCCGCAUUAGCUAGUUGGUAAGGAACGGCUUACCAAGGCAACGAUGCGUAGCCGACCUGAGAGGGUGAUCGGCCACACUGGAACUGAGACACGGUCCAGACUCCUACGGGAGGCAGCAGUAGGGAAUCUUCCGCAAUGGGCGAAAGCCUGACGGAGCAACGCCGCGUGAGUGAUGAAGGUCUUCGGAUCGUAAAACUCUGUUAUUAGGGAAGAACAAAUGUGUAAGUAACUAUGCACGUCUUGACGGUACCUAAUCAGAAAGCCACGGCUAACUACGU